This is a long non-coding RNA of Olea europaea var. sylvestris, 545 nucleotides long. RefSeq lists it as uncharacterized. The record is from RefSeq and is a predicted model, not a curated record. The transcript is spliced from 2 exons. Lineage: Eukaryota; Viridiplantae; Streptophyta; Magnoliopsida; Lamiales; Oleaceae.
UCUUCCCCCCUUUGGCCUUUCCAUCUCACAGCAAUCGAACUUUUGUGGCAGGUUCCCAUGUUUACAGCGUCUGGUUUACGUGUUCGUUUCCUCAAGGUAUGGGAAAGGAGUGGGUACAACACAGUCGAGUGGGUUCGUUAUAUAACGAAGGCUGGGUCGUAUGAGAUUCGAUGCUAGGAUGACUUAUUGUUGCCAGUGAGUGACACGAGGAAUUAUUUGUCAAUGUGAGUGCAUUUCUCCUCCAAUUUGAUGCAGCCUCUCGUUCUGCAUCUUGUAUUAGUUGAGGUAGAUGUUAUUCAAGAAAAGAGGAAAAUACGAAGUGACAACUUGAGGUCAAUGUUAUUUGUGGUAAGUGGGAUAAUAUGCGUGUUUGGAAUUGUGAAAUUUGGUUUGAGAUUUUGUGCUGUAAAGGCCGGUCAAUAUUGACUGGGAGGCAUACCCCAAUCUACUUGUUUGUUUGGUUUGACAUAAAUUUUGAGUUAAAAUGUGUAAUUUGCUUUGAAUUGGAACACAUUUUUUGUUUUAUUUUAUUUAUUUAUUUUAAA